GCUCAUUGAAAAUACAUUAAACUUCCCAAAAAUCAGUACAAAAGUGUCUUUAACACACAAAUCACUCUAAAAUCCCACUAGAAAGUAUUCAACUAAAUAAUUCAAGCACAAACUAGCAAAAACUAAUAUUUUUGUAUGUCAAUAGGGGUACCCAAUCAUUUUAAAAAUAGAAAGAGAACUCCAAUAGACUAAUUAACAGACUACUAUUAAUUCCAAACACACACAUAUAUAUUACAUAAACUAUUUUUCUAAUAUUAAUUUUUUUUAAAUCUGAUGCAUAAAAAUAUCAUGCGUUCUUGUAGGUGCGCAUCCCAAGAAAUGUGACGUAGACAGUCUAGCAAAAUUAACGAUCUUUAAUUAAAAGAAGGAUCGUUUAGCUGGAGCUCUGCCAACAGCUCUCAUCAAAUUGGAAAUUUCAACAACUUUUGCUACUUUUGUUCCUCUCUUUGCUUCUGCUGAUGCCUUUUUUUCUUCUGCUUUUCUGUGUGCUAUUGCUAUAUCAUUUUGCAUCUUUUCUAGGGCUUUUACCCUCUUCUCCUCCAGCUUCCUCUCAAUUUUUUUCAUCCAAGAAGUAGCUUUUUGUACUUCUUCACUUUCCCAUCCAUUAAUAACAGCAUCUUCACGUUUAAACCUAUUAUUAAUCUUCGAAAUUUUAGCAUUUUGCCAUGCACUUAUCUUCGAUUCAAUUUCUUCUUUUUUCACUCUUUGAACACUACUUACUUCUCCAAUAUUAUUUCUCAAAACAUUAUUAUUAUUAUUAUUAUUA
This 766-nucleotide unclassified non-coding RNA is filed under the name Hevea brasiliensis (rubber tree). Lineage: Eukaryota; Viridiplantae; Streptophyta; Magnoliopsida; Malpighiales; Euphorbiaceae. The record is from RNAcentral.